AGUCCCUUUAAAGAGUUUGAAUUUGCAUUUGCAUAGGAGAAAAUAUUCAAGAUGCCUUGAUAUUAUGAACAAGCCAAGAGGUUAAAUCUGAUACUAGAUCCAGGACUAUUUUUAACCCUGUGGAAAGUUGAGGCAUAGCAGAAGUCAAAUUAUAUAUUUUUCUGUCUCAAGAUAAUACUAAGCCUAUUUUCUAAAAUAUGUUCGUCUAUAAAAUUAUGUAAAUAUACAAUAUACACAAAUAUAGGUAAAAAAGAUUUUUUAGGCAAACUUUGAAAUGGGGCUUGAUUUUCGGACCAAAAUAAAUCCACUGUCUGAUGCUGGGUACAAAAACUGAAGAUAUUUUGUCUAGCAAGUAGCACCCUCACAUAGACUCGGACAGGUAUGAAAAAAACGUUAACAAUUUUAUUACUGGGUGGAUUUUAAAGUGCCAUAGCGCCUUGACUUUUGAUUUUACCCGCACUGACUUACUUAUACUAUUUUGUAGCCUUAAAUAUGCAUAUUUCAUAACUUUAUGCACGUGUUUUUUAACUUUAGUUUUGUAGAAAUAAUUGAAAAAAAUCUCAUCGUUUUUGCGUGAAAGACUUUAGGAUCACUCAGAAAUAAAUUUCUUUUGGCUUUAAAAAUUUUGAGAUAUUGUAGAUUUUGAAAAAAAAUCUUAUUUAUCUGGUGGUGAGGGGGAGGGGUGGUGUUACUCUUGAAAUAACUCUUCGUGUAAUAUUUAUAGAAGAGAAUAUUGUAUAAUAGCAAGGUUUACAUUAAGCAGUAGUGCCAAUAUUAAAGAUUAUACGGGUUGUAUCUUAGAUAUCUGCAUAUAAACCUAGAUUCAAGUUUAGAUACAGUUGUGCAUAGAUUACUUCAGGGUUCAGAGUUAUUCUUUUGUUUAAAUCACAGAGUGGGUUCUACACAUUUGUCUUUAGUUUUUAAGGGUCUGUUCCUGUAAUUUUACAUUCAAUUUAAAAAAGGGGCUUCGCUUACAAUGGUAGCUAAGGAUUAGAAUUGAAAUCUAGGAUUUUAAAUAAAUUCUAGGAUUAGAAUUAAAAUCUAGGGUUAGAAUUAAAAUCUAGGAUUUGAAUUUAAAUUACGGAUUAGAAUCUAGGAUGGGAAAGUAAAUCCCGGAUUAGAAUUAAAAUCUAGGAUUAAAAUCUAUAUCUAGGGUUAAAAAUAUGAUUUAAAUUAAAAUAUCCGACUAUGAUUGAAAUCUUGAAAUAAGGAUUUGAGGUUAAAAUGAUGAUUAUAGGUUAGAACCAGAAUGAAAGUUAAGAUAGAAAAGUAAAUAGAAAAAUAUCUUUCUUAGAUGAGGUCGUGCAGUGUACAGAUCUUCCCCAGGUUCAGGAUUAAUCAUUUUCAGAAAUCACGAACCAAAUUUGAGAAAAUCCGCGUAAACAUAUUAUCUCUUUUAGUUUUGGUAGAAACUACAUUUUUUAAAACUUUAUGAGGGACGAGGGAAAUUAAAAUGGGACGGGGAGAUUAAGUUUGCGGUUUCAGCGCACAGUGAUCCUAAGGUUGCAAGCUCGCAAAAUCUAUCAAAAUUUUGCCAAUAACUUUAAAGGUUUCAAAACACGAUGACAGUUACCCCAGAAGUCAAAGUAAGAUACGCUCCUGCACAUAUAAAACACACAGAUGCUGGACAGUGAACAAACAAUAUGAGACAGCGGAAUAUUUUCAAGAUGCAGAGCAGAAGAAGGUCACAGAUAGUAACAGAUGGAUCGAAGGAUAAAUCAGGAAUGAUCAGUAGGAAUCUAUUUAUCUUAAUAACACGAUAAAUAGCUUCUCAAUAAAAAAAUUUGUCGCUUUAAGAUGUUUUAUAUCAUAAGAAACUGCUCUACUCAAGUUUUCAAAUUGUUUUUUCUUUAAACAGAGCCCUUUGAUAUUCUUAUAAUAAUAAUUCUGCUGAUCAAAUAUAAAAUAGUCACAGUUGAAAAAGUUCCAAACGGUUAAAAGAGUAAACUUUUUCUUUAGACAUUUGUGUAUAACUUUUAAUGAUUCUGUAAAACUUGGACAAUUUUCUAAAUUUAAAA
Molecule: long non-coding RNA, 2018 nt
Filed under: Eurytemora carolleeae
Lineage: Eukaryota; Metazoa; Arthropoda; Copepoda; Calanoida; Temoridae
Description: uncharacterized LOC111701494
Source: RNAcentral